CCCUUAGAUGUCCGGGGCUGCACGCGCGCUACACUGAAUGAAUCAGCGUGCUAGAAAACCUUGUUUGACAUGGCUAGGUAACCCAUUGAAAAUCAUUCGUGAUUGGGAUCGGGACUUGCAAAUGUGUCCCUUGAACGAGGAAUUCCCAGUAAGUGCGGGUCAUCAGCUCGCGUUGAUUACGUCCCUGCCCUUUGUACACACCGCCCGUCGCUGCCCGGAACUGAGCCGUUUCGAGAAGACUGAGGAGUGCUGACUUGAGGCCUUCACGGGCUUCUAGUCGGUGAAAAUCAAUUUAAUCGCAGCGGCUUGAACCGGGCAAAAGUCGUAACA
This 330-nucleotide ribosomal RNA is filed under the name uncultured eukaryote. Its description in RNAcentral is "partial 18S ribosomal RNA". It matches the Rfam family "Eukaryotic small subunit ribosomal RNA", at positions 1470 to 1796 of the family's 1831-position model. The record is from RNAcentral.